Helianthus annuus (common sunflower) is the source of this 355-nucleotide long non-coding RNA. RefSeq lists it as uncharacterized. The record is from RefSeq and is a predicted model, not a curated record. Lineage: Eukaryota; Viridiplantae; Streptophyta; Magnoliopsida; Asterales; Asteraceae. The transcript is spliced from 3 exons.
ACCAGAAAAUAAAAAAAAAUCAAAAAAAACACACAGAUCACGCCGCUAAAAUCAUCGCGCCACACCCCAUUUUUCGUUUGAUAGCGCCCGGAGUUUUGGUGUUCUGGGCGUUUUGCCGGCGCCAUGCAAGGGCAUACCGCCCCACUACGUAUGCUCUCAUUCUUUGAAGCAAACAGAGGAGGUUGUUCUUGAUCAGGAUGUAGAUAUUCAAGGGAAGUUAGCUGAGAAAGUUUCAUGCUAUCAAGUAGUGUUCUAUUAUUAUUUCAGCAAAGGAAUCAAUGCUCAAGUGGCUUAUGGUUUCCAUCAUUUAAGGAACGAGAAACAUUACCUUGCUCAAGAUCCCAUUUCAAACAAG